This 773-nucleotide ribosomal RNA is filed under the name uncultured Streptococcus sp. Its description in RNAcentral is "bacterial SSU rRNA". It matches the Rfam family "Bacterial small subunit ribosomal RNA", at positions 28 to 776 of the family's 1533-position model. The record is from RNAcentral. Lineage: Bacteria; Bacillati; Bacillota; Bacilli; Lactobacillales; Streptococcaceae.
GACGAACGCUGGCGGCGUGCCUAAUACAUGCAAGUAGAACGCACAGUUUAUACCGUAGCUUGCUACACCAUAAACUGUGAGUUGCGAACGGGUGAGUAACGCGUAGGUAACCUGCCUGGUAGCGGGGGAUAACUAUUGGAAACGAUAGCUAAUACCGCAUAAUAUUGAUUAUUGCAUGAUAAUUGAUUGAAAGAUGCUAUUGCAUCACUACCAGAUGGACCUGCGUUGUAUUAGCUAGUAGGUGAGGUAACGGCUCACCUAGGCGACGAUACAUAGCCGACCUGAGAGGGUGAUCGGCCACACUGGGACUGAGACACGGCCCAGACUCCUACGGGAGGCAGCAGUAGGGAAUCUUCGGCAAUGGACGAAAGUCUGACCGAGCAACGCCGCGUGAGUGAAGAAGGUUUUCGGAUCGUAAAGCUCUGUUGUAAGAGAAGAACGGGUGUGAGAGUGAAAAGUUCACACUGUGACGGUAUCUUACCAGAAAGGGACGGCUAACUACGUGCCAGCAGCCGCGGUAAUACGUAGGUCCCGAGCGUUGUCCGGAUUUAUUGGGCGUAAAGCGAGCGCAGGCGGUUAGAUAAGUCUGAAGUUAAAGGCUGUGGCUUAACCAUAGUACGCUUUGGAAACUGUUUAACUUGAGUGCAGAAGGGGAGAGUGGAAUUCCAUGUGUAGCGGUGAAAUGCGUAGAUAUAUGGAGGAACACCGGUGGCGAAAGCGGCUCUCUGGUCUGUAACUGACGCUGAGGCUCGAAAGCGUGGGGAGCGAACAGG